UACGGAGGGGACUAGCGUUGUUCGGAAUUACUGGGCGUAAAGCGCACGUAGGCGGAUUGUUAAGUCAGGGGUGAAAUCCCGAGGCUCAACCUCGGAACUGCCUUUGAUACUGGCAAUCUCGAGUCCGGAAGAGGUGAGUGGAAUUCCUAGUGUAGAGGUGAAAUUCGUAGAUAUUAGGAAGAACACCCGUGGCGAAGGCGGCUCUCUGGGCCUUACCUGACGCUCAGGCGCGAAAGCUAGGGGAGCGAACAGG
RNAcentral lists this ribosomal RNA (253 nucleotides) under uncultured bacterium. RNAcentral describes it as "partial 16S ribosomal RNA". It matches the Rfam family "Bacterial small subunit ribosomal RNA", at positions 524 to 776 of the family's 1533-position model. The record is from RNAcentral.